Long non-coding RNA from Notolabrus celidotus (New Zealand spotty), 1994 nucleotides. RefSeq lists it as uncharacterized. The transcript has 8 exons. NCBI's taxonomy places the organism in Eukaryota, Metazoa, Chordata, Actinopteri, Labriformes, Labridae. The record is from RefSeq and is a predicted model, not a curated record.
GGUAACUAAGCAGCGGUUUAUCUCGCGGUAACUCAUCAUCUUUGAUUAGCGGUUAAAAACAGAAGUUACCUUUCCGAGACAGAUCUGACACGAGAUCGGCAAAGUGAGAGACAGAGUGGACGACUGGAAGUUAAGAGCCAUGCUUUGAGGGUAGACAGCGCCGCUCACAUACACACACAAACAUACACACACACAGCUUCUCUAUGGAGAUACGAAUUUCCCACCAGGACCCGCGCUUAGUCUGACAACUACGGGAAGCCAGUGUGACCAAAAAGGCGUUUUUAAAAGUUCAACAGCAGGAAGUGACUGACUGUCAGCAGCUAACGUUAGGAGAAGUUCUGCGGCGAGCUUACUCAGGGCAUGGAGAGAGUGAAGAGGAGAGAGAGAGAAGAGAGAGAGGAGGGAGGAGAAGGAGGAGGAGAGUGGUCUUUUUAAAAACUGCCUCAGUGCGCUAAUGUUCCUGAAACCUGAACCCUUAUUGGAUCUGAAGGGCAUCAUGACACAGGCGGCGUCCGCAGCCUCCGUGUGGAGGUGAGGAUUAAAGGGAUUGCUUUCAUUCAGGGAAGGAGAGGCGAAAAAGCCUUCCAGCAGAGCCCACUCCGACUCAGCCCUUCUCCCUGCGUGCCUGUCCCCUUGUCUCUGCUGCAGGGGCCGACUGACCGACUCCACCAGUGCACCGGUCACCAUCCGGCCGGCCAGCCUGGACGCUCUCUCCCGCACCCGUGGCUCGCCACUCUGCUGCAGCCAGGCUCAGCUAGCAGCUUCAUGGCCUCUGAUGUUUGCGAGGAAAAAGAGAGGAUGUACACAACCUUCCUGAUCUACUGCUGCGUUGGAGCUCUGGGGGUCUUGACCCUCUUAAAAAGGAAACAUUCAGGAUUGGAGCAAACCCGUGCAUGCAAUAAUGUCUUCUUCAUGUUAAAGUCAUCAUUCAGCCGUCAAACCAAGCAUCCUCACCGGGCUAACAUCAGAAGUCCAAAUGUUAGAGGGCUCAGGUCAGACAGCAGACUGGAUUUAGCCCUGCAGAGGCCUGAGUCUUCGUGGUGGGAUUCUCUCUCCUUCUCCUCUGGAGUUUGUUUCGCUCUUCACACCAUCAGAGUCACAGACGGACAACAGAUCCCUCUUUUGCAUCCUGACUGAAGAGGACAGCUUCUUUAAAACAGAAAGAAGUCUGUUUGGAUCUCCUCCUGGUGUCGUGUAUUCAGGGAUCACAGCAUCCUCUUCUGGACAAACGGGAAAGCAGCAGAGAGUGAACUGAAGGCAACACAGCACAUGUGAGCUGCUCUCUCCUGGACUCGAACGGUAACGUCUCCUCAGACUCACCUUUUUAUUUUAAACCCAGUAUAUACUUUUAUUAAUGCCGCUGCAGACUAAAGGAACUUAGGCUCCGACAAGUGCAGCUAUAAGACACUGAGAAAUAUCAACAAUACAAAGGGAAACAAAACAACUUAAGCCUGGAUGAAUAACACACUUACACGAACACGCUGCCUGGGAUGUAAAAGAAUCAUUUUGUUGCCGUUAGAAAACGUAUGCAGAAGUGCCAGUUAUGAAAAAUGUCAUCUUUAAAAGGCAAAUCUAAAUGUCAGAGAGACAGAUACUUUACACAUAGAGAUGGCUGCCUUCUGGGCCUAACACAGAAAGGCGUUAGGAUAAUAUUUUUUCCCCGCUGAAAUGAACCGCAAUUACCCGACAUCGAGCAUCCAGAGCUCACAUUCAGUCUCACAUCGCCUGGAGAGGAGCGUGGUCACUGUUUGCUGCAUCACUCAGGAUAUCAGAGAGAGAGAGCAAAGACUGUGUGUUCACGUCACACAGAGAGAAAUAAGAGACUGUGUAAGAGUCUGCAAUUCGCUACUGAGACGUUAUAAAGAGCAUUAGUUAGAAACAGAGCCGGACUCAUCCGUCCACAGAAAACUUCUCUGCUGCUGUUUCCUGAUCUUAAUGAUUUUUAUAAUUGAUGAACCGUAAAAGUCAUUUUUCAGGACAAACACUAAACUAGA